AUGGAGGGAAGAAAACAGCCAUAUGAAGAUCUGGAAGAAGAGCAAGGGGAGUGCAAGGCCCUACGAGGGGAUGAGCUUGGACUCGUCUGGACUCCAUCCUGCAGCCCGCGGCAGGUGCUGCUGUCUCAUGAUUCGCGAGGAACCCGGCCAUGGUGGCUGGCCCCCACCCCAGCUAUGGAUGAGGUCACCUUCAAAAGUGACACUCAGCUCUCAGAUGUACAAAUCUACACCCCGAACCACAGGCACCUCAUGGUGCGGCUGAAUGGCAUGGGGCAGCCCAUUUUCCGGUCCCAGUUCAAGCUUCUGUGGAACCGAGACUCUCAGACAGACUCAGGGGUUGAGGGUGGCCGUCAUGCCAUGGGUCCCGCAGAGGAAAUGCCUCCCUCUGGGCCGGGCAGUGCCAGAGCCCCCUCUGGGGAAUGGCUGCAGGAGUGACGCCACCAGCCAGGAGCGGGUGGGAACUCGGCUGGACGAGGACGGAGAUCUGGACGUCGAGAGGAGGCCACGGGCGGCUUCAGACCCCGAGCCAGCGGGGCCUCCGAGAGACAAGGUACAUCCCACGAUUCUAACGCAGGAGGAAGAUGACCCCCCGGCAGACGAAGCACGAGAGAGCAUCCCCCAGGAUAUCAUCAGAAUAGAACACACCAUGGCCACCCCCCUGGAGGAUGUUGGCAAGCAAGUGUGGCGGGGUGCCCUGCUCCUGGCUGACUACACCCUGUUCCAACGGGACCUCUUCCAGGGACGCACGGUGCUGGAGCUUGGGGCGGGCACGGGGCUGGCCAGCAUCAUGGCAGCCAUCGUGGCGCGUACCGUUUACUGCACAGAUGUCGGUGCAGAUCUCUUGGCCAUGUGCCAGCGAAACAGUGCCCUCAAUGGCCACCUGGGGACUCCUGCAGGAGGUGGUGUAGUUAAGGUCAAAGAACUGGACUGGCUCAAAGACGGCCUGGGCACAGAUCCGGAGGUCUCCUUCAGCUGGUCGCAGGAGGACGUCUCCGACCUGUACAGCCAUACCAUCAUCCUGCUCGCGGCCGAAGUGGUUUACGAUGAUGACCUAACCGACGCUCUGUUUAAAACGCUGUCCCGCCUCGUUCACAAACUGAAAAACGCCUGCACGGCCAUUCUGUCUGUGGAGAAGAGGCUGAACCUCAAGCUCAGACCCCUGGACGUCACGUGUGAAGCCUACCACCACUUCCGCUCCUGGCUGCAGCGGCUGGAGGGGCUUGCUGCCGGCCGGCUGCGCUUCGCGGUGGAGCGGAUGGAGGCCUCCCUCCCACAGCUUCUUGUCUAUGAGCGCAUCCGGCAGCUGGAGCUCUGGAAGAUCUUUGUGGAACCGGUAAUGUGACCCAUCGCAUCCACAAGCACGGCUUCUCGACUGUUCUUAGAAUGCGUUUCUAAUAAAAUGGAA
Non-coding RNA from Callorhinus ursinus (northern fur seal), 1405 nucleotides. The record is from RefSeq and is a predicted model, not a curated record. NCBI's taxonomy places the organism in Eukaryota, Metazoa, Chordata, Mammalia, Carnivora, Otariidae.